This 536-nucleotide ribosomal RNA is filed under the name uncultured Glomeromycotina. Its description in RNAcentral is "SSU rRNA". It matches the Rfam family "Eukaryotic small subunit ribosomal RNA", at positions 569 to 1108 of the family's 1831-position model. Lineage: Eukaryota; Fungi; Glomeromycota. The record is from RNAcentral.
AGCAGCCGCGGUAAUUCCAGCUCCAAUAGCGUAUAUUAAAGUUGUUGCAGUUAAAAGCUCGUAGUUGAAUUUCGGGGUUAGUAGGUUGGUCAUGCCUCUGGUAUGUACUGGUCUCACUGAUUCCUCCUUCCUGAUGAACCUUAAUGCCAUUAAUUUGGUGUUUUGGGGAAUUUGGACUGUUACUUUGAAAAAUUAGAGUGUUUAAAGCAAGCUAACGCUUGAAUACAUUAGCAUGGAAUAAUGAAAUAGGACGUUCGAUCCUAUUUUGUUGGUUUCUAGGACCGCCGUAAUGAUUAAUAGGGACAGUCGGGGGCAUCAGUAUUCAAUUGUCAGAGGUGAAAUUCUUGGAUUCAUUGAAGACUAACUACUGCGAAAGCAUUUGCCAAGGAUGUUUUCAUUAAUCAAGAACGAAAGUUAGGGGAUCGAAGACGAUCAGAUACCGUCGUAGUCUUAACCAUAAACUAUGCCGACUAGGGAUCGGAUGAUGUUAAUUUUUUAAUGACUCAUUCGGCGCCUUACGGGAAACCAAAGUGUUU